CCGCCUUCCAUGCAAGUCGAACGGCAGCAUAGGAGCUUGCUCCUGAUGGCGAGUGGCGAACGGGUGAGUAAUAUAUCGGAACGUGCCCUAGAGUGGGGGAUAACUAGUCGAAAGACUAGCUAAUACCGCAUACGAUCUACGGAUGAAAGUGGGGGAUCGCAAGACCUCAUGCUCCUGGAGCGGCCGAUAUCUGAUUAGCUAGUUGGUGGGGUAAAAGCCUACCAAGGCAACGAUCAGUAGCUGGUCUGAGAGGACGACCAGCCACACUGGGACUGAGACACGGCCCAGACUCCUACGGGAGGCAGCAGUGGGGAAUUUUGGACAAUGGGGGCAACCCUGAUCCAGCAAUGCCGCGUGAGUGAAGAAGGCCUUCGGGUUGUAAAGCUCUUUUGUCAGGGAAGAAACGGUAGUAGCUAAUAUCUAUUACUAAUGACGGUACCUGAAGAAUAAGCACCGGCUAACUACGUGCCAGCAGCCGCGGUAAUACGUAGGGUGCAAGCGUUAAUCGGAAUUACUGGGCGUAAAGCGUGCGCAGGCGGUUGUGUAAGUCAGAUGUGAAAUCCCCGGGCUCAACCUGGGAAUUGCAUUUGAGACUGCACGGCUAGAGUGUGUCAGAGGGGGGUAGAAUUCCACGUGUAGCAGUGAAAUGCGUAGAUAUGUGGAGGAAUACCGAUGGCGAAGGCAGCCCCCUGGGAUAACACUGACGCUCAUGCACGAAAGCGUGGGGAGCAAACAGGAUUAGAUACCCUGGUAGUCCACGCCCUAAACGAUGUCUACUAGUUGUCGGGUCUUAAUUGACUUGGUAACGCAGCUAACGCGUGAAGUAGACCGCCUGGGGAGUACGGUCGCAAGAUUAAAACUCAAAGGAAUUGACGGGGACCCGCACAAGCGGUGGAUGAUGUGGAUUAAUUCGAUGCAACGCGAAAAACCUUACCUACCCUUGACAUGGAUGGAAUCCUGAAGAGAUUUGGGAGUGCUCGAAAGAGAACCAUCACACAGGUGCUGCAUGGCUGUCGUCAGCUCGUGUCAUGAGAUGUUGGGUUAAGUCCCGCAACGAGCGCAACCCUUGUCAUUAGUUGCUACGAAAGGGCACUCUAAUGAGACUGCCGGUGACAAACCGGAGGAAGGUGGGGAUGACGUCAAGUCCUCAUGGCCCUUAUGGGUAGGGCUUCACACGUCAUACAAUGGUACAUACAGAGGGCCGCCAACCCGCGAGGGGGAGCUAAUCCCAGAAAGUGUAUCGUAGUCCGGAUUGGAGUCUGCAACUCGACUCCAUGAAGUUGGAAUCGCUAGUAAUCGCGGAUCAGCAUGUCGCGGUGAAUACGUUCCCGGGUCUUGUACACACCGCCCGUCACACCAUGGGAGCGGGUUUUACCAGAAGUGGGUAGCCUAACCGUAAGGAGGGCGCUCACACGAA
This 1417-nucleotide ribosomal RNA is filed under the name Herbaspirillum sp. ZF4. RNAcentral describes it as "bacterial SSU rRNA". It matches the Rfam family "Bacterial small subunit ribosomal RNA". Lineage: Bacteria; Pseudomonadati; Pseudomonadota; Betaproteobacteria; Burkholderiales; Oxalobacteraceae. The record is from RNAcentral.